UUAUAAAUCACUAGUGGAGCCGGAACCAGUUAGUUUAUAUUUGUCAUGAAGCCCUGUUUAUUUUCCUGUACUACUUAAAUUACUUACUGUUAUAUUGUGUGAAUUUAAAUUGAUAAUUUUUAUGGUCUUCUCGAUUAUUUGGUUUAUUUGGUUCCUCUUGUUUUGUUUAUUUAGUUAUCUGCUUACUUGGUUAUUCGGUUAUGU
Molecule: long non-coding RNA, 204 nt
Filed under: Carica papaya (papaya)
Lineage: Eukaryota; Viridiplantae; Streptophyta; Magnoliopsida; Brassicales; Caricaceae
Description: long non-coding RNA (CPAP_LNC008461)
Source: RNAcentral